Molecule: transfer RNA, 73 nt
Filed under: Ipomoea nil (Japanese morning glory)
Lineage: Eukaryota; Viridiplantae; Streptophyta; Magnoliopsida; Solanales; Convolvulaceae
Rfam family: tRNA
About the family: Transfer RNA (tRNA) molecules are approximately 80 nucleotides in length.
Source: Rfam by way of RNAcentral
GACUCCAUGGCCCAAUGGAUAAGGUGCUGGUCUAUGAAACCAGAGAUUUUGGGGACGAUCCCUAGUGGAGUCG